This 584-nucleotide ribosomal RNA is filed under the name Brucella cytisi. Its description in RNAcentral is "bacterial SSU rRNA". It matches the Rfam family "Bacterial small subunit ribosomal RNA", at positions 137 to 755 of the family's 1533-position model. Lineage: Bacteria; Pseudomonadati; Pseudomonadota; Alphaproteobacteria; Hyphomicrobiales; Brucellaceae. The record is from RNAcentral.
UACGGAAUAACUCAGGGAAACUUGUGCUAAUACCGUAUGUGCCCUUCGGGGGAAAGAUUUAUCGGCAAAGGAUCGGCCCGCGUUGGAUUAGCUAGUUGGUGAGGUAAAGGCUCACCAAGGCGACGAUCCAUAGCUGGUCUGAGAGGAUGAUCAGCCACACUGGGACUGAGACACGGCCCAGACUCCUACGGGAGGCAGCAGUGGGGAAUAUUGGACAAUGGGCGCAAGCCUGAUCCAGCCAUGCCGCGUGAGUGAUGAAGGCCCUAGGGUUGUAAAGCUCUUUCACCGGUGAAGAUAAUGACGGUAACCGGAGAAGAAGCCCCGGCUAACUUCGUGCCAGCAGCCGCGGUAAUACGAAGGGGGCUAGCGUUGUUCGGAUUUACUGGGCGUAAAGCGCACGUAGGCGGACUUUUAAGUCAGGGGUGAAAUCCCGGGGCUCAACCCCGGAACUGCCUUUGAUACUGGAAGUCUUGAGUAUGGUAGAGGUGAGUGGAAUUCCGAGUGUAGAGGUGAAAUUCGUAGAUAUUCGGAGGAACACCAGUGGCGAAGGCGGCUCACUGGACCAUUACUGACGCUGAGGUGCG